Molecule: ribosomal RNA, 285 nt
Filed under: uncultured bacterium
Lineage: Bacteria
Description: partial 16S ribosomal RNA
Rfam family: Bacterial small subunit ribosomal RNA
Source: RNAcentral
AACGAACGCUGGCGGCAUGCCUAACACAUGCAAGUCGAACGAGACCUUCGGGUCUAGUGGCGCACGGGUGCGUAACGCGUGGGAACCUGCCUUUAGGUUCGGAAUAACUCAGAGAAAUUUGAGCUAAUACCGGAUGAUGUCUUCGGACCAAAGAUUUAUCGCCUUUAGAUGGGCCCGCGUAAGAUUAGCUAGUUGGUGGGGUAAAGCCUACCAAGGCGACGAUCUUUAGCUGGUCUGAGAGGAUGAUCAGCCACACUGGGACUGAGACACGGCCCAGACUCCUAC